AGUGAACGCUGGCGGUAGGCCUAACACAUGCCAGUCGAACGGCAGCACACUAAGAGCUUGCUCUUACGGGUGGCGAGUGGCGGACGGGUGAGGAAUACAUCGGAAUCUACUUUUUCGUGGGGGAUAACGUAGGGAAACUUACGCUAAUACCGCAUACGACCUACGGGUGAAAGCAGGGGAUCUUCGGACCUUGCGCGAUUGAAUGAGCCGAUGUCGGAUUAGCUAGUUGGCGGGGUAAAGGCCCACCAAGGCGACGAUCCGUAGCUGGUCUGAGAGGAUGAUCAGCCACACUGGAACUGAGACACGGUCCAGACUCCUACGGGAGGCAGCAGUGGGGAAUAUUGGACAAUGGGCGCAAGCCUGAUCCAGCCAUACCGCGUGGGUGAAGAAGGCCUUCGGGUUGUAAAGCCCUUUUGUUGGGAAAGAAAAGCAGCAGGUUAAUACCCCGCUGUUCUGACGGUACCCAAAGAAUAAGCACCGGCUAACUUCGUG
This 492-nucleotide ribosomal RNA is filed under the name uncultured bacterium. RNAcentral describes it as "partial 16S ribosomal RNA". It matches the Rfam family "Bacterial small subunit ribosomal RNA", at positions 29 to 507 of the family's 1533-position model. The record is from RNAcentral.